This 80-nucleotide transfer RNA is filed under the name Hypoxylon trugodes. RNAcentral describes it as "tRNA-Gln". It matches the Rfam family "tRNA". From Rfam's summary of the family: Transfer RNA (tRNA) molecules are approximately 80 nucleotides in length. Their secondary structure includes four short double-helical elements and three loops (D, anti-codon, and T loops). Further hydrogen bonds mediate the characteristic L-shaped molecular structure. tRNAs have two regions of fundamental functional importance: the anti-codon, which is responsible for specific mRNA codon recognition, and the 3' end, to which the tRNAs corresponding amino acid is attached (by aminoacyl-tRNA synthetases). tRNAs cope with the degeneracy of the genetic code in two manners: having more than one tRNA (with a specific anti-codon) for a particular amino acid; and 'wobble' base-pairing, i.e. permitting non-standard base-pairing at the 3rd anti-codon position. The record is from RNAcentral. Lineage: Eukaryota; Fungi; Ascomycota; Sordariomycetes; Xylariales; Hypoxylaceae.
GGCCGCGUAGUGUAGUGGUUAGCACGCAGGAUUUUGACAUCAAAUUUCCUGAGACCUGAGUUCAAUCCUCGGCGGGGCCU